This is a long non-coding RNA of Ctenocephalides felis (cat flea), 1217 nucleotides long. RefSeq lists it as uncharacterized. The transcript has 6 exons. The record is from RefSeq and is a predicted model, not a curated record. Lineage: Eukaryota; Metazoa; Arthropoda; Insecta; Siphonaptera; Pulicidae.
AUAAACGUCAAAAUAACACUUUUGUCAAAAGUGCUUUUUUUGUGCAUUUUGCUGCACUUCUCGCAGACAGUUGUACUUAUUGUCACAAGUUUCAAGAACUAAUCGAGGCUAUCUGGUCCAUCGGUUAAAAUUAUGGGUCAAUUAUAGAGAUACAGCAAAGGCUCAUUUUAAAGCAAGUUGAAGCGCAUGCAAAUAUGUACCAAAUUAGAUGUUACUGGUUACACAAGAUCUGUGAGUCCCUACGAUUGAACGAGAGAUAAAAAAACAUCCAAGGGGGUAGAGGGUGAUAUUUAAAAUUACCCUUCCUCUCCCCAACAAAUAUCACAUGUAUUUUUAGUUAUGAGAAAAAUUAUAAAUUUAUUGUUUUGAAUCUCACUCAAUCAAGCUUCAUGACACGAUAGGUUAGAUAGUGUACUUAUAUUAUGAAGUCGACUCUAGACAAAAAAAGAAUUCUACUGAGCUCGAUCCUGAAAAGUAAAGGAAACUAGUUUGGACCCAUUCUGCAAAACGAGUACCUCCUACACGAAGGACUGAAAAUAGAAGGACCGAAAGAAUUGGGAAGAAGAAGAAUGCAGAUGCGAUGGAAAAAAAAUAGAAAAUAGAUAAUACAGGGAACUGAAAGUCAAAGCACGGGCACAAGGCUUUAGUUGAGGAUUUGUGCAGAUAUUUGGAUUACUUAAAACGGCUAAACCGAUUUGGCCAGUCUUAGUCUUGAAAAAUUUGUGCCAAUCCAGAGAUGGUCGGAAAGGCUUUAGUUGAGGAUUUGUGCAGAUAUUUGGAUUACUCGAGCCUCGAAUAGAUCUAUUUACACUCGACAAUAUAACUUUGCCAUAAGAAUGAUGAAGGGUACACACUGCAAAUGCAAAUAAAUCAUAUUCUAAUAUUUAAAGAUAAUUUACUUAAAUCAGGACAAAUAUCAUAAGAGGCUUUAGUUGAGGAUUUGUGCAGAUAUUUGGAUUACUCGAGCCUCGAAUAGAUCUAUUUAUACUCGACAACAUAAUUUUGCCAUAAGGAUGAUGAAGGGUACACACUGCAAAUGCAAAUAAAUCACAUUCUAAUAAUUAAAGAUAAUUUACUUAAAUCAGAAGAAAUAUCAUAAGAGGCUUCAGUUGAGGAUUUGUGCAGAUAUUUGGAUUACUCGAACCUCGAAUAGAUCUAUUUACACUCGACAAUAUAACUUUGCCAUAAGAAUGAUGAAGGGUACACACUGCAAAUGC